RNAcentral lists this long non-coding RNA (1038 nucleotides) under Canis lupus familiaris (dog). RNAcentral describes it as "lncRNA (ENSCAFG00030015749.1)". Lineage: Eukaryota; Metazoa; Chordata; Mammalia; Carnivora; Canidae. The record is from RNAcentral.
AUGAGGAGUUCAUGGUACUUUAUUUUGAAAGGGCUUUUAGAACUUACUUGUCUUAUUUUAUCCCCAAAUCGACCCGAGAGCCAGGUGAGUCUGUGGUUCCCGUCAACAGCCACAGGGGAAGGAAAAUCAAGACACAUGCCUGUGUCUCCGGGGUCUGUCUCAGUUUUAAUUCGGUUCAAUAAAGGUUUUGAGGGCCCGUGGGCAGGAGGCGGGGGGGGGGGGGGGGGGUGCAGCGCGUGGCCCACGCACCCCUACGGCUGGAAGCCCCCGAGCCCCCCUGCCCCCCCGCGCCCCCCCGCCUCCCUGCGCCCCCGCGGCCCCCCCCGGGCGCCCCCUGCGCCCCCCGCGCCCCCGCAGACACUCGCUGGUCGCGGAGCUACACCCGCACGGCCUGGGCGCGGGGGAGGAGAGGCCAACGGGACCCCCUGCCCCCUCGUGCAGGUCACGUCUUGGCCUGAAGACACAGGAAGUAACCAGGAAAGGAAGUUCAUAAAGAUACAAAGUGUCCAGCAGGAAAGAAAGAAGCGGCUCCGGGGGGUGCUCGGGGGCGAGGCCCUGCGGCUGGCGGCGCCCCCGGCCUCGGAGCACCUGCGGCCGCUGGGGGGCCGGUCCCGCGGGGCAGGGGGAACCCCGGAGGCUGCGUCCCCGCCGCGAGUCGGGCCGCGGGAGCAGCAGAGCCCGGGGAGACCGCGCCCCCCGCGCCCCCCGCGCCCCCGCCCCCCCGCGGGCCUAGCGCCGACCUUCGCGGCGGCUGCGCCCGGCCCGGCCCGGCCCUCGGUCCUCCCGUGUCCGCGGGGCCGCUCCAGACCCGCCCUAGACCCGCCGGGAGCCCCCCGGCUGCCCGAGCCUGCGGCGGGGCCCCGGGCACGCGGACCGCGGGGCCGGGCGCUGAGUCACCGCGGCCGCCGGCGCAUCCAGGGCCCGUGGGGUCCCCGCCCGCAGCCUCAGGCCCGGGACCCGCGCUCCGGCCCCCCCCGCCCGUGGUUCCGCCCGCGCCCCCCCGCGGCCCCCGCCCGUGGUUCCGCCCGACCGCGCUAG